UCUCAGUGUCAGAAGAGACGUUAACCUGUGUUUCUGUGUAACACUUCAACACAGACAGCUCUUCACAAGGCUCAGUGACAGAAGAGGCAUCACCAGUGCACACUGUACGUCUCUAAACCUCUUAACCUCAGACACUUCAACAUCACACAUCAGAACUGCACUGGAGAUUCACUGGACUCAGUUCAUCACAAGAUUUUGCUGUAUAAAUGAAUGGCAGAACAUCAGAGGAGCAUCACAAACAACAUGAGCAGCAAAGAGAACAAGAGUCAAUCAGCAGAAGCAGGAGAGAAACAGAGAAAGACACUAGUCAGACUGAACAGCUCUGGAAUAAACAGACCAAACUUUUGUCAUGAUUCAGACAGACCUUCUGAGAUUCAUUCUGAUGAUAAGAAGACAUGCUAACAGAGAUGAUGUAAAGCACCGCAGGUUUAUGUUGGAGAAGGCAGCAGCAAGUUCUUAAAACUUUAGUUGGAAGCAGCUUUUUAAGAGUUUCUGGAGAAACAGAGCAUGAUGUGCAUCACAGACUGACUGAGAGACAGGACUUUUAUUCUGACAAGGACAACAUUGGGCAUGAAACACAAAACCAAUGGCAGCAUAUCCCAUUAGGACAUUAGGACUGCCUAUGCAUAGGGCCCUGGAUUUUUUGCAGCUCCCCUGACACUAACACACACUUAACACCAUCAUGAUAACACACAUGAUACUAAAAUAGUGGUAUAAACAUUAAUUUUACAACAUUAGAUGUAAGAUUACCCUAACGCACACAACUGAUAAUAGAAAAAAGAAGGUGAAAUGGUUAAAACAUCUAAUAUGAAGUGUCAUUCAGGGAAUUCCUGGGGUGUCAGUUUAUGUUUUUUUCACUUUCAAAAAACUGUAAUUACAGUUAUUCAGCAUAUAUAGUGUGUAAACUUACCGUUAACUAAUUAACCGUUUUUUACUGCAUUUUUACAGUCUUUCAAUGUUAAAAUCAGGAUUAUUUAUUUUACAUUGGACUGAUAACACUGGAUCACGUGGCAUUAAACACAGAUCAAUGAAUUAUAAAUAUAUUUGAUUAAAUAUAGCUGGUGCACACAGUGUCAUUUAAUUUUAUAUUUCAUAAUCUUUUUUCAUUCAGCCAUAAACUAGUUUUUUUUCUUUCACCCGAGCAAAUUUUAGUAAUUUGAGCAAAUUCUAAUCCAUCAUUAGAGUUACUGCUUGAUGUAUAAACCUGAAAAUCAACACAUAUGGUUGCCAAAAGAAUGAAUUGAUAUAUUUUGUAUUUAAAGGUGAAUGUUAUUGAUAUGGUCUCGUUUUGUACUUCAAUAUGUGUUGUGUAGUUUUGCAUUGAUUAAUUCUAGGACUUAUGGGGGGGGGGGGGGGGUGUUGUCUUACGAUGUUUUGAGGUGUUGUUUUAAUGUGAUAUACUAUAGCUGCUCACUUGAUUGACAUUGAUUGUUAACAGCUGUCAUCAAUUGAAACUGUUUGAAUCUGUGAGAACAUAUUGAACUAUUACCCUUGCUUGUGUAUGUGUAUGUUUGCCUGACGUUGCUAUUUUUUAUUUUUAGAAUAAAGGGAGCG
Carassius auratus (goldfish) is the source of this 1554-nucleotide long non-coding RNA. RefSeq lists it as uncharacterized. The record is from RefSeq and is a predicted model, not a curated record. The transcript is spliced from 5 exons. NCBI's taxonomy places the organism in Eukaryota, Metazoa, Chordata, Actinopteri, Cypriniformes, Cyprinidae.